CCUACGGGUGGCAGCAGUAGGGAAUAUUGCUCAAUGGGGGAAACCCUGAAGCAGCAACGCCGCGUGGAGGAUGAAGGUUUUCGGAUUGUAAACUCCUUUUGUCGGGGAGCAAAGCGAGUCACGUGUGACUCAUUGAGAGUACCCGAAGAAAAAGCAUCGGCUAACUCCGUGCCAGCAGCCGCGGUACUACGGAGGAUGCGAGCGUUAUCCGGAUUUAUUGGGUUUAAAGGGUGCGCAGGCGGAGGUGCAAGUCAGCGGUCAAAUUGCGGGGCUCAACCCCGUACUGCCGUUGAAACUGCAUCCCUUGAGUGCGCGAGAAGUAUGCGGAAUGCGUGGUGUAGCGGUGAAAUGCAUAGAGAUCACGCAGAACUCCGAUUGCGAAGGCAGCAUACCGGCGCGCAACUGACGCUCAUGCACGAAAGCGUGGGUAUCGAACAGGAUUAGAUACCCCUGUAGUC
Molecule: ribosomal RNA, 458 nt
Filed under: uncultured bacterium
Lineage: Bacteria
Description: partial 16S ribosomal RNA
Rfam family: Bacterial small subunit ribosomal RNA
Source: RNAcentral